AGAGUUUGAUCCUGGCUCAGGACGAACGCUGGCGGCGUGCUUAACACAUGCAAGUCGAACGAUGAAGCCUAGCUUGCUAGGUGGAUUAGUGGCGAACGGGUGAGUAAUACGUGAGUAACCUACCUUUAACUCUGGGAUAAGCCUGGGAAACUGGGUCUAAUACCGGAUACGACCAAUCUCCGCAUGGGGUGUUGGUGGAAAGCGUUAUGUAGUGGUUAUAGAUGGGCUCACGGCCUAUCAGCUUGUUGGUGAGGUAACGGCUCACCAAGGCGACGACGGGUAGCCGGCCUGAGAGGGUGACCGGCCACACUGGGACUGAGACACGGCCCAGACUCCUACGGGAGGCAGCAGUGGGGAAUAUUGCACAAUGGGCGCAAGCCUGAUGCAGCGACGCCGCGUGAGGGAUGACGGCCUUCGGGUUGUAAACCUCUGUUAGCAGGGAAGAAGAGAAAUUGACGGUACCUGCAGAGAAAGCGCCGGCUAACUACGUGCCAGCAGCCGCGGUAAUACGUAGGGCGCGAGCGUUGUCCGGAAUUAUUGGGCGUAAAGAGCUUGUAGGCGGUUUGUCGCGUCUGCUGUGAAAGGCCGGGGCUUAACCCCGUGUAUUGCAGUGGGUACGGGCAGACUAGAGUGCAGUAGGGGAGACUGGAACUCCUGGUGUAGCGGUGGAAUGCGCAGAUAUCAGGAAGAACACCGAUGGCGAAGGCAGGUCUCUGGGCUGUAACUGACGCUGAGAAGCGAAAGCAUGGGGAGCGAACAGGAUUAGAUACCCUGGUAGUCCAUGCCGUAAACGUUGGGCACUAGGUGUG
RNAcentral lists this ribosomal RNA (809 nucleotides) under uncultured bacterium. Its description in RNAcentral is "bacterial SSU rRNA". It matches the Rfam family "Bacterial small subunit ribosomal RNA", at positions 8 to 824 of the family's 1533-position model. The record is from RNAcentral.